AAUUUUUCAUCUCGCUCAAGCUCAUUGGCUUUAUUUCGGAAACUUUGACAAGUCGAUGCGAGUUCGGUCGGUUCGGUCGUGGAACAAACAAAACGAGAAAAUUGGGAAAUUAUAAAUGGUUCUUCCGUCGUGAUAGCUUCAAGUUUAUUGCGUGCUAAUAACACCGAUCGUCGUUGCUUUUAUCCUGAGCUUGGCAUCAAUACAAGCCUUUAAAAAGACCAGCACCACUGGAUACCCGCGUAAAAAGAUUGGUCCGGAGUGUAUGUUCGGAAAUAUACAACAUCCUGGGCACCGACUAUUGCUAUAGUCUGAUCCUGCCUUGUUACAGUUCGUAAUGAGAAGAUCUUCGCUAAUAAGUUCGAGCUCAAGAACGGCGUUGCUUUAAGGAUGACAUUGAAGGCGGAACUGGGCACUUUCACACGUCAGGUUAAAGUUGGUGGUGCUUUCUUUCGGGAAGGACAGUUCACUCAGCGAGAUGGAAGUUGCUCAGAUUUGCAGGAGUCGGAAAAGUGGAUUGAAAACGAGAUCGACAUGUACCCAAGCAUGCACCAGACGUUUCCGGGAUCUGCUUCGUGGAAGAACAAUAUUCUGUUCCUAUAGGUCAUUCCAGCUGGCUGCUUCUGCUUAAAAAAGGAUUAUGUCUCGUUCACUGCUAUGAUUCCACUGGAUUCCAUUGAUUGAUCUGCUCGAUUUUAUUGGAUUAUACGAUAGCUUUGAAUAGAUUGGUCUGAUUGGUUGAAUUGCUUGUGUUGAAUGAGUUGAAUGUGUUAGUUUGGAAAAUUAGACUGCUUCGACCAAAUUAAAUUAUUGGAUUAUUUUGCUUGA
This is a long non-coding RNA of Armigeres subalbatus, 825 nucleotides long. RefSeq lists it as uncharacterized. The record is from RefSeq and is a predicted model, not a curated record. Lineage: Eukaryota; Metazoa; Arthropoda; Insecta; Diptera; Culicidae. The transcript has 3 exons.